CCUCGCCAUUAAUGUCACCUUUCCUGCCCCCUUCCCCUUCGUCCCCUCAAGAGACGGUGCCCAAGCCUUUCCACGACACAAGACAGAUGGCUAGACGGACAGAUGGCCCCUUCACCCAAGCAAGCAGAAACAGACAAGGCCCGGCCAGAGAUGAGGAUGUGGGGACAGAUGGAGCUGUGACAACGAGGGGCCCUGCUCCCUGAGCCUCCAUCACCAUGCCUGGGAGGAGAGGAGCCAGGUCCCAGGAAUACGAAACCUGACACACAGGAGGUUAGUUUCCGUGACCCAGGAGGGAGCAACAGUGAAGCUGGGGGUGAUGUAAACACACCUGUGACGAUGACGAAGGCAGAGCAAUUAACGACACCUGGCAGAAGGAGCCGGCCAAGGUGCCGGACACAGGGGCAGGGCGCACGACCCUCAGAAACCCAACUGGCUGGUAUCACACACCCCGCCUUGGAGCAGACUGGGACUGGAGCCAAAGAAGAGGAAGGGAAGAGGAGGAAGCUGAGAGUUUCCUCUAGCACGAUGGAAAGGCGCAGGCAGGGCUGCCUUUAAAUCCUUGGGUGCCUCUGGACAGCCCUGCCAAGCAGCAGGGCAGCAAACCUGUGCCAGCCUGCAAUGUGAAGCUCUGAAGCUUUGGCAUCUCUGCUGGGCUCUGAGCCAGGUGCCUGGCAGGGCCCCAAGAACUACUUUCAGCAAAUCUUCGGGCAACACCGAAGGUGGUGAGAAGCAGGAGGCAGAGUGAGAAGGCAGGAAUGGAGAGGCCCCUGGAGGCGCCAGCUCAACAGGAAGGUUCACGAGCUCAGGAGGACUUGGGGGAGUGCUGCAGGAUGGUGGAAGAGAUGGAGAAAGAAGAUGGAACGGGGAAGAACGGCUCCUCCAUCGGCAGGGCUGCGGACCGGCUCCAGAGUGCUUCCCCAGCCUUCCGGAGUCUAAUGAAGACUCGGUUGCAGCGGAAGCCGUUUCUUUUGGCCUUGCCCACCAUGCCUGCCAUCCAGCCUCCAUCUGUGCCCCGAGUGGGAGGGGCUCUCUGGCUCUAAGACGGCUCCCACCAGCCAUUUUCUUCUCCAAAGAAAGCCUUUUCAGUUCCUUCA
Callithrix jacchus (white-tufted-ear marmoset) is the source of this 1094-nucleotide long non-coding RNA. RefSeq lists it as uncharacterized. NCBI's taxonomy places the organism in Eukaryota, Metazoa, Chordata, Mammalia, Primates, Cebidae. The record is from RefSeq and is a predicted model, not a curated record.